RNAcentral lists this long non-coding RNA (3260 nucleotides) under Bos grunniens (domestic yak). Its description in RNAcentral is "lncRNA (ENSBGRG00000014216.1)". The record is from RNAcentral. Lineage: Eukaryota; Metazoa; Chordata; Mammalia; Artiodactyla; Bovidae.
AUGUUCUAAAAUACUCUGAUGGAUUCACAAAAUAACUCUCUGCAUCUACUCUGAUGCAUUAGGUAGAUUGGUGUUUGUUACAAGGUAUAGUAAAGAAAUUCCAGGCACAGUGUUCUCUUAGGGAAACAAAGAUCUACACUGUUGCUGAGGCAGGUUGUGAGUUCUAAACCAGACCUGGAAUCCUGGUCCUUCUAAAGCUACUAUGAAGUGCAGAAAGAAACUUUCACUCUUAUUUUUGUAGAAUGUAUCCCAGCUGAGGGAAAGAAAACAUUACAAUGUUGGUAGGGUCUGCAAAUACCUAACCAGGCUCAAAAUGUGUUAAGUUUUUUUCAUCUACAAUAGUAUCUGAUGGUGUCAGUCACCUCAAAUUCUUGUGUUUGUGUGCAUAGAUUUAGGAAUCUCUUCAAUGCCUUGGAUCUGAAAGAGAGUGUGUUCUCUGGAGAUUGGGUUAUCCCUGAUUGGAUUGUCCACUCUCUUCCCCUAUUAAAGGAAAAUCAGAGACAGAAGUUAGUGGACUUUCCAGUGAGCCACAGGCUGACUGCAUCUCAAGAGUGGUCAGAGGACAGCUCUUCAAAUUGGGGGAACCUGCAUAGACCAGAUUUCCAAGCUGGCCUUAACUGGAGAGGCAGAGGCAGAAGUCUUUCCAUUGAGGCACCAGCUGUCUGCAUCUCAGGAGUGGUCAGUGGACAGCUCUUAGAACUGGGGGAGCCUGUGUUGACCAGAUUUUCAAGUCAGUCUCUUCUGGUGAGUUUGGAAUCCAUAUUGAUGUCCAUCUAUAUACUUUUGCCUUUUGUACAAUCUUUUAAUUAAGCAAAUAGUAGCUCUUAAAAUGUUCUGUUACUGAAAGUUAUUUCUUUGGUGUUAGUAUUGAGAAAUAUUCAAGGUAUUAUAUAGGUUUGUGUAUGAAGCUUUCUUGGGAUAAUUAGCCAGAUUUAAAAAAAAAAAAAAAAAAAAAAACACAAGAUCACUAUGAAGAAGAAGUAGUAUUUGUCUGAACUCUGAGUUUUUCAUCUAUAAUAGUAUCUGUGUCAAUAGCCUCAAAUUCUUGUGUUUGUGGGCGCAGAUUCAGGAAUGUCUCCAAAACUUGGAUCUGAGAGGGCGUGCCCUCUAGAUUGGGUUGUCCACUGAUUGGGUUGUCCACUGAUUGGGUUGUCCACCUUCUUCCCCCAUAAAAGGAGAGGCAGAGGCAGAAGUCUUUCCAUUGAGGCACCAGCUGUCUGCAUCUCAGGAGUGGUCAGUGGACAGCUCUUAGAACUGGGGGAGCCUGUGUUGACCAGAUUUUCAAGUCAGUCUCUUCUGGUGAGUUUGGAAUCCAUAUUGAUGUCCAUCUAUAUACUUUUGCCUUUUGUACAAUCUUUUUAAUUAAGCAAAUAGUAGCUCUUAAAAUGUUCUGUUACUGAAAGUUAUUUCUUUGGUGUCAGUAUUAAGAAAUAUUCAAGGUUUUGUAUAGGUUUGUGUAUGAAGCUUUCUUGGGAUAAUCAGCCAAAUUUUUUUUUUUUUAAAUCACUAUGAAGUAGAGGUAGUAUUUGCCUGGGAUCUGUUUAAAUAGUUCUCUCUGGAAAAUGUUUUACCCACAAGUUUAUUUUUCUUGGUUUUUAUUUUUCUUUCUUUCUUUUUAAAUUCAGCUCUCUGAUUGCUGUUCCACCCAAGAGUUUCUGAUUCAUCACAUCUGGGAGCAAGGCCUGAGACUCUGCAUUUCUAGUAAGUCCUCAGGUAUUGCUGCUGCUCUAAGGACACACUCUGAGAACCACUGGUCCUCCUGCUCACAGUCUAAGGAUGUUCUCUGAGAACCACUGGUCUAGCUUGUCCCUGGUGGGGUGGAGAAGCUUUCUGAGACUUGACGGGAGGGUCCUUCCUAUAGGCAGAGGCCUAGGAUGACCCCAUAGCAAGAAUGGGUCCAUACUGCCCCAGAUUCUGCCAUACUGGGUUUCAGAUUUCUUUCUCUUCCUGUUAAUAGUGCUUAUAAUGUGGGUUGAGGAGGCAGUGCUCCCAUGAAAGGAAAUCAGAUUGCUUUCUGAACUAGCUGAGCUACAAAAACUAGACUGUCCCAUUGGUAAGCUGGAAGAAGAGAGAAUGUUCCAGGCCAUCUAUCUGAUACAUCAGCACAGAGUCUGCCCUUUGUGGUUUAUUUUCCCCUGUGGUGGCCCUGAGCUGCAAGGAAGAGAGUAGAAACUGGACAUCCAUGGGCCCUGGUGACAAGGAGGGGAGGUGCAAGGACUUGGGUUAAGGAUUAUGAUUGUGACUUGCCUAUAUCACUCGCAGCAAGGUCAAGGUGACUUUUAAAAGUUAUUUUACAGUGUCCUACUUUACUUUUUUCUCAGUUUGAUUUCUCUACCUGAGAUAUCCUCUGAAGCUAUGUCUAACUUUACCUCAUUUCUCUUCCAAAUUAAUCCAUUACCUUUGUGUAUUCUGAUGUUCCUAUAAUUCUUUGUUUAAUGUCUGCUGCUUCCCAGGUGUUGCUAGUGGUAGAGAACCCGCGUGCCAAUGCAGGAGGUGUAAGACACACCAGUUCAAUCCCUAGGUCCAGAAGAUCCCCUGGAGUGGGGCAUGGCAAUCCACUCCAGUAGUCUUGCCCGGAAAAUUUCAUGGACAGAGGAGCUCGGCGGGCUACAGUCCAUAGGGUUGCAAAGAGUUGGACACCACUGAAGCGACUGAGCACGCAGGCGAUGUCUACUGCACUGCAGGCAUACUCUUUACCGUUUGAGCCCCCAGGGAAGCUCAAUUUGUACACCUGUCUAAAAAACCUGGAACCUGCUUUGAUGUUGGGAUAAAAUAAGCUAGUACAUCAUUGGCUCUUGUAUUUCCGGGAAUAUUUAGUAAACAAUAAAGUGUUUUUUAAAAAAUUCAGCUCUCUGAUCCGUAUGUAUCAUCAAGUUAAAUGGCUAUGGCUGGUCGCUCAGUCGUGUUCGACUUUUGCGACCCCAUGGACUGUGGCCCGCCAGGCUCCUCUGUCCAUGGGAUUCUCCAGGCAAGAAUACUGGAGUGGAUUGCCAUUCCCUUCUCCAGAGGAUCUUCCCGACCAAGGGAUCGAACCCGGGUCUCCUGCAUUGCAGACAGAUUCUUUACCGUCUGAGCUACAGGGUUGCCCUUCCCCAAAAUCUUCAUCAAUAGCUGUCAUUUUUUCUUUCUUCUUACUUCUCUUCCUCCAUAUCUCCUCUUUCUUCGUCGCUGUGAUGGCCUUAUUGAUGAUCACAACAUUCUAUUGUACUUCACACUGUAGGAAACAGCCUUUAAUCUAUUAACCCCUUUCUCUCCUGAGG